AUUAAACGCUGGCGGCAUGCCUUACACAUGCAAGUCGAACGGCAGCACGGGGCAACCUGGUGGCGAGUGGCGAACGGGUGAGUAAAGCAUCGGAACGUGCCCUGGAGUGGGGGAUAACGUAGCGAAAGUUACGCUAAUACCGCAUAUUCUGUGAGCAGGAAAGCAGGGGAUCGCAAGACCUUGCGCUCUGGGAGCGGCCGAUGUCGGAUUAGCUAGUUGGUGGGGUAAAGGCCUACCAAGGCGACGAUCCGUAGCGGGUCUGAGAGGAUGAUCCGCCACACUGGGACUGAGACACGGCCCAGACUCCUACGGGAGGCAGCAGUGGGGAAUUUUGGACAAUGGGCGCAAGCCUGAUCCAGCCAUGCGCGUGAGUGAAGAAGGCCUUCGGGUUGUAAAGCUCUUUCGGCCGGGAAGAAAUCGCAUGGGUCAAUACCCUGUGUGGAUGACGGUACCGGAAUAAGAAGCACCGGCUAACUACGUG
Molecule: ribosomal RNA, 481 nt
Filed under: uncultured bacterium
Lineage: Bacteria
Description: bacterial SSU rRNA
Rfam family: Bacterial small subunit ribosomal RNA
Source: RNAcentral